CCUACGGGAGGCAGCAGUGAGGAAUAUUGGUCAAUGGACGAGAGUCUGAACCAGCCAAGUCGCGUGAAGGAUGACUGCACUGUAGGUUGUAAACUUCUUUUGUAUGGGAAUAAAACAUGGGAUGCAUACCCUGUUGUGUGUACCAUAUGAAUAAGGAUCGGCUAACUCCGUGCCAGCAGCCGCGGUAAUACGGAGGUGGCGAGCGUUAUCCGGAUUUAUUGGGUUUAAAGGGAGCGUAGGUGGAUUCUUAAGUCAGUUGUGAAAGUUUGCGGCUCAACCGUAAAACUGCAGUUGAAACUGGGAGUCUUGAGUGCAGUAGAGGUGAGUGGAAGUCGAGGUGUAGCGGUGAAAUGCUUAGAUAUAAGGAAGAACACCGGUGGCGAAGGCAGCUGACUGGACUGCAACUGACACUGAGGCUCGAAAGCGUGGGUAGCAAACAGGAUUAGAUACCCUGGUAGUC
This 460-nucleotide ribosomal RNA is filed under the name uncultured bacterium. RNAcentral's name for it is "partial 16S ribosomal RNA". It matches the Rfam family "Bacterial small subunit ribosomal RNA", at positions 338 to 795 of the family's 1533-position model. The record is from RNAcentral.